UAGGGAAUAUUGCACAAUGGGGGAAACCCUGAUGCAGCGACGCCGCGUGAGUGAUGAAGGCCUUCGGGUCGUAAAGCUCUGUCGUAUGGGAAUAACAUAAUGAAUGUACCAUGCAAGAAAGGAUCGGCUAACUUCGUGCCAGCAGCCGCGGUAAGACGAGGGAUCCUAGCGUUGUUCGGAAUCAUUGGGCGUAAAGCGGGUGUAGGUGGGCUUCUAAGUCAGGUGUGAAAUCCCAGGGCUCAACCCUGGAAGUGCACUUGAUACUGGAAGUCUUGAGUGUGGUAGAGGCUAUUAGAAUUCUUGGUGUAGUGGUGAAAUACGUAGAUAUCAAGAGGAAUACCGGAGGCGAAGGCGGAUAGCUGGGCCAACACUGACACUGAGACCCGAAAGCGUGGGGAUCAAACA
This 405-nucleotide ribosomal RNA is filed under the name uncultured Bdellovibrio sp. RNAcentral's name for it is "bacterial SSU rRNA". It matches the Rfam family "Bacterial small subunit ribosomal RNA", at positions 355 to 774 of the family's 1533-position model. Lineage: Bacteria; Pseudomonadati; Bdellovibrionota; Bdellovibrionia; Bdellovibrionales; Pseudobdellovibrionaceae. The record is from RNAcentral.